GAGAUCCUCCUGUCUCAUCCUCCAGAGUAACUGGAACUACAGUACCCAGGGGAGUGCUUUCUACGUCGUUCAUGCUGAAUACAUUUUAAUGGAGAGAAAGCAAUUUAUUUUCAGAGACAAGGUUUCACCAUGUUGGACAGGCUGGCCUCAAAC
Macaca mulatta (Rhesus monkey) is the source of this 153-nucleotide long non-coding RNA. RefSeq lists it as uncharacterized. The record is from RefSeq and is a predicted model, not a curated record. Lineage: Eukaryota; Metazoa; Chordata; Mammalia; Primates; Cercopithecidae.